Long non-coding RNA from Salvelinus sp. IW2-2015, 2094 nucleotides. RefSeq lists it as uncharacterized. Lineage: Eukaryota; Metazoa; Chordata; Actinopteri; Salmoniformes; Salmonidae. The record is from RefSeq and is a predicted model, not a curated record.
AGUGAAGUUGGUGGGAGGCCAAUUUGUGAAUCACAAGGUUGGCCAAAUAUCCAACAUUGCUGAUCAAGGGAAGUUGAUUCACUGACCUGAGGCUGAGUGACUUCUUGAAUGAAGAUAAGCUUUUAAGUUGGCCAUUAAAAUUGAAUUGUCUUUUACCACUGUAGUUGCAAAAGAUUKAUUUCUCAGUUAAAGGGGAAUUACACUUUUCCUGUUUCUGUUGAGUCCGUAUGGUUUCAUAUCGUUAUGUGAGUUUCACAGCCAUCCUAAUGUGAUGUUAAAGGGGAACUUCACCCAUUUUAAGUUUUUGUGGCCUUACUUUUCUCUUUAUAUAUAUUAUGUCUACUGUGCCAUUAAUCCAUGUUUGAAAGAUUUAACCUUAAUAUGCAAAUAUUGAGUUAUAGGAUGGUGGAAACAAAAUAUGUAAAAUUAGUGAGUUUGGAGUGUUUUAUAUACACAUUUUCAUCAUGCAUUCAGUCAAUGGAAAGUGAUGAUUCAGCAAAAGUGAAACCAAUUUUCAGAAAUACGAUAUCAAAAAACGAUUUGGGAAAUCAACUACAAACACAGAAAGGGAGAACAUAAAACAUGUGAAAAUGUGUUAACUUCCCCUUUAACUGACGGUAUAACAACAGAAUUUCCUCUUGGGGAUCAAUCACAUAUAAAAUGCAAACAUUUUACAGUUUUGUUAUGGUUCGCCGUUAAACUCUAACUCACAUAGUAAUGAUUUUUUUAAACCAUCUAUAGAAUGGACUGGAGAACAUCGAACAGAACAAUUGAUUGUAAUUCCCCCACUCAUGGUUAUUUUGAAAUGAUUUGUCUCUGCAUUCCUGAAAUAUGACGUACCAGUCGCCAGCCAAAUUAAUGCAAAGCUGUAUGAUGAGUCGGGAACUGAAGUUGAUGGAGAAAUGUUUGAGGAGGUGCUGACACAGCCAAGUCCUGMUGUUUUCACAAUCACACUGGACAAUGAUACUGUAUCUUCCCAGAUGACUUCCUCCUUUGCCAGUUCCUUGUUGGAGAUCUCGUCCAUUGAGUCAGAUGAUACUGUCAUUCUGAGCGAUGAUUGGAGCCCUUCAAGAAAAUGACAGAGAGCUGAGGAUGAAGCUAAACAACAUUUAAGAAAUAACAUACUGAAGAAGAAAUCUGGUGGCGCUCUUGUCAUCAAUKCUCUCGAACCAAAGGACACCAGACGAAAGAUGAUACAUUUUCUCACAGCAGAGAUGACCGAGACUCACGGUUAAGCACUAAACCAGGCACGCAAGAAAGCUGUCUGUAUCUAAGAUGUAUUUCAGAUGAAUGUUGCUAUUAUAGGGACCAGAAUCAACAGGGGGCUUCAUUGCAAAUGGAUGUAUAAAGUACUCUUGUUGUCAGGACAUCAGCACCACGCCAUGAGGGAGUCAUAUGCUCAAGGAAUUGUCGACUUGUUCCCUUACCUCAAGGACUCCUACAAAACUAAAGGAUAUGAACAUUAUUUUGACCCUCAAACUGGAAAUAGUUACUUGUCCUCUGAACCAUCCAGAGGAAUUCAGCUUCACCUGAGAAAUUACCACCUAGCCAGUAAUUCAGUGGUGGCCCAAUAGCUGAGAUAGAGACUCCAUCCCAUCCAGAGAUUACCCUGAUUGGUGAAAAGUGUAGGGAAGCCAUUUCCCUGAUGAAGCAUUCUUCUGAUGAGGUCACCAACAAGCAGAAGAUGAGGAUGACAWAUGAAUACAGACGGAAGAUGACUCAUGACCCAAGUAAAUGCUGCGAGUUGCUGACUGAAUUUCCACAAUUCAUGGAUAUGAAGUGCCUGGAUGGACAGUGACCUCUCCUCCAUCCUCCUCCAGCUCCAUUUGAUUCCCCCUUCAUCACAAGGCCACAAAAGACCAGGCAAGGCAGGAACCAGUAUCCAGAAACACAUUGAUGCUAUUGCCCAAAGCAGUUAACCGUACCUCCUUGCUGUCGGGACCAAGAGGAGCAGCAUCCAUAGUUACUUCCUCAUCCUGGACAAGCAAGCUCUGACAUGAAACUCUACAAGCGCCUUUUCUUUAGUUUAUUUGUUAAAUAUUUUCUUUACUCUUCUUGAACUGCACUGUUGGUUAAGGGCUUGUAAGUAAGCAU